Molecule: transfer RNA, 59 nt
Filed under: Flavobacteriaceae bacterium
Lineage: Bacteria; Pseudomonadati; Bacteroidota; Flavobacteriia; Flavobacteriales; Flavobacteriaceae
Also listed under: 1 other name
Description: tRNA-Asp
Rfam family: tRNA
About the family: Transfer RNA (tRNA) molecules are approximately 80 nucleotides in length. Their secondary structure includes four short double-helical elements and three loops (D, anti-codon, and T loops).
Source: RNAcentral
AGUUCAGUUGGUUAGAAUACAUGCCUGUCACGCAUGGGGUCGCGGGUUCGAGUCCCGUC